Molecule: small RNA, 69 nt
Filed under: Psychrobacillus sp. OK032
Lineage: Bacteria; Bacillati; Bacillota; Bacilli; Caryophanales; Bacillaceae
Description: Bacillaceae-1 RNA
Rfam family: Bacillaceae-1 RNA
Source: RNAcentral
GGAUGUGGUAGGUCUGCAAAGUACGCCACAUCCUGUGGCAAAAAGCAGACAUGACCCACUUCGUGCGUG